AUGACCUGGGCUCUUCUCCUCCUCAGCCUCCUCAGUCAGGGCCCAGGAACCUGGGCCCAAAAUGUCCUAACUCAACCUCCCUCAGUGUCUGGGACUCAGGGACAGACAGUCACCAUUUCCUGUACAGGAACCAGCGAUUACAUUGGGGGAUAUAAUGCUGUCUCCUGGUACCAGCAGCAGGAUGGCACAGCCCCUCAAACUGCUGAUUUAUUAUUUCAACAAUCAGGCAACAGGGAUCCCUGAUCGCUUCUCUGGCUCCAAGUCUGGCAACACAGCGACCCUGACCAUCUCUGGGCUCAAGCCUGAGGAUGAGGCAGAUUAUUACUGUAGCUCAUUUACAAGUAGUAGCACUUUCCACAGUAGCUGCUGUACACAGGGUAGUGAACCAAAAACCGCUGAAAGUUCCCUUGAGGUCCUUCUCUCCGAAACUUGGAGGGCAUUUUUUACUUAA
Sorex fumeus (smoky shrew) is the source of this 451-nucleotide non-coding RNA. Lineage: Eukaryota; Metazoa; Chordata; Mammalia; Eulipotyphla; Soricidae. The record is from the annotation of a RefSeq genome assembly.